UGUUGAAUUAGGAGGGGAUAACCUUACCCCAUUCACAAACCAGCAAAUAAAAUAGGGGAUAGAAUCCCUAAACCCUCCAUUCUCUUCUCCUUCGACUCCGGCGGGAUUGGCCACGGUGGCAGCGGCGGCAGCGGUGUUUUAUAUGGUUCGCGGCACGUGAUCGUCUCCUCUUUUCCUCACCUUGUUAUUUCGUUCAGGGUGAGAAGAUGAAGGAUGGGGUCGUCGGCUUCCUUCGCUGAGAACAGUUGAAAAGGUCGUGUCGUUCAGGGAGGUGGUUAUGAAGUCCCACGUUUGGGGACAUCUCGACCCGAGAGAGGUCAAGCCGUGACGGAUACGGUUUGGUGGUGGUAAGCUUUGUCGGCUUCCAUCCUCUUCCGAUUUCCCCAUACAGUGAUGGCAGAGGAAAGAGACACGGCGACGGUGAAGCUUCAAGGCCACCGUGUCUUCUUGAUAGUUUGCCACCGAGAGCGAGAUGACUCUGAAUCGUGAAGGCGGAGGAAGGCGACGGGAGAAGGCGUCCGAAGGAAUUCGACUUUCAGGUUCACUUCACCACAACCCUUCCAUCUUUUGGAGCUAACUCUUGCGGCUGCUUCCCCAACCAUUUUCUAAAGCUUCAUAGUGAACACAUUAAUAUGUAUAGGAUUAGGUUCACAGUAUAAACUGUUGAGGAAAUAUUUAUGGUACAAGCUGUGAACCCAAUCCCUUUUUUAUUGGGAUUUUUCUUAGAUUUUGAUUGAACGCUUCUUAUGUAAAUAUAUUGCUGUCAUAUGUAUUCCUGAAGUUGAGGGCACUUUGGUUAUAUUGUAAAAUCUGUUUUGUUACCCGUGUAAAAAGGACAUAGCUGCCUUGAGGUGAUUGAUUUUUUCUUUAGAAAUAGCAUGAAAAAUGAAUCAGGGCCAGGGUACUUUCAGCAGAUGAGGAGCAUUUGAGUCUUGUUUUUUCAUUCUUCAAAGCUAUUGUCAUAUCCUUGCUUAUUUCAAUUGUAUUUAGAGUAGGUCCUCUAGUAGAAUCCAUGGUCUUAACAAAGGGGAAGGACAGAACAAAGUUCAAACUCUCAUUCAUGUAGCUUGGUUCAUAAACAGUGUAACUCAGCAAUGUUAAUCACUGCAUUAUCAGUUAUUUAUGUAUAAUUAGCAACAUCUUAUU
Non-coding RNA from Lupinus albus (white lupine), 1146 nucleotides. NCBI's taxonomy places the organism in Eukaryota, Viridiplantae, Streptophyta, Magnoliopsida, Fabales, Fabaceae. The record is from the annotation of a GenBank genome assembly.